This 465-nucleotide ribosomal RNA is filed under the name uncultured Klebsiella sp. RNAcentral's name for it is "bacterial SSU rRNA". It matches the Rfam family "Bacterial small subunit ribosomal RNA", at positions 338 to 795 of the family's 1533-position model. Lineage: Bacteria; Pseudomonadati; Pseudomonadota; Gammaproteobacteria; Enterobacterales; Enterobacteriaceae. The record is from RNAcentral.
CCUACGGGGGGCAGCAGUGGGGAAUAUUGCACAAUGGGCGCAAGCCUGAUGCAGCCAUGCCGCGUGUGUGAAGAAGGCCUUCGGGUUGUAAAGCACUUUCAGCGGGGAGGAAGGCGGUGAGGUUAAUAACCUCAUCGAUUGACGUUACCCGCAGAAGAAGCACCGGCUAACUCCGUGCCAGCAGCCGCGGUAAUACGGAGGGUGCAAGCGUUAAUCGGAAUUACUGGGCGUAAAGCGCACGCAGGCGGUCUGUCAAGUCGGAUGUGAAAUCCCCGGGCUCAACCUGGGAACUGCAUUCGAAACUGGCAGGCUAGAGUCUUGUAGAGGGGGGUAGAACUCCAGGUGUAGCGGUGAAAUGCGUAGAGAUCUGGAGGAAUACCGGUGGCGAAGGCGGCCCCCUGGACAAAGACUGACGCUCAGGUGCGAAAGCGUGGGGAGCAAACAGGAUUAGAUACCCAUGUAGUC